UACGUAGGGGGCAAGCGUUGUCCGGAAUCAUUGGGCGUAAAGAGCGUGCAGGCGGCUCGAUAAGUCUGCUGUGAAAGUCCAGGGCUCAACCCUGGAAGGCCGGUGGAAACUGUCGGGCUAGAGUCCGGAAGAGGCGAGUGGAAUUCCCGGUGUAGCGGUGGAAUGCGCAGAUAUCAGGAGGAACACCAAUGGCGAAGGCAGAUCUCUGGGCCGUAACUGACGCUGAGGAGCGAAAGCAUGGGGAGCGAACAGG
This 253-nucleotide ribosomal RNA is filed under the name uncultured bacterium. Its description in RNAcentral is "partial 16S ribosomal RNA". It matches the Rfam family "Bacterial small subunit ribosomal RNA", at positions 524 to 776 of the family's 1533-position model. The record is from RNAcentral.